Molecule: long non-coding RNA, 2851 nt
Organism: Columba livia (rock pigeon)
Lineage: Eukaryota; Metazoa; Chordata; Aves; Columbiformes; Columbidae
Exons: 2
Source: RefSeq, a predicted model, not a curated record
GAUCACUAUGGAAAAUAAGCUCAUUAUAGUGCAGCAUGGGUGAGCAACUACAGGCGAAAAGGAAUUGAUUGAUCCAAAGCUUCAUAUUAGCAGCUGCUUUUGCAAGCCAAGAAGAGUGGGACGGCAUCCCCUGCACACAGGGACUGAGACUGAGAACAGAUCCAGGUUCACAGUCCACGCGUCUCCCUCCUUGAGGUACAAUCUGACACGCAGUCAGGAGGGAAGGCUGUUUAGAGCUCUAAUAGCACAGAAAUCCAUUUGCAACUGCUCUUUUCAUUCGCCCUCUACAAAUCAGUCAAGGACCCAAGCUCUUGAUGAGCAAAACUGGACUCUGGUAUUACUGCGAUUGCUCAGUAACAAGGCUGCAGAUGGAAAUAAUUCCCAAAGACUAAGAAACUUCAGAGCACCUGAGUAAAAAGACUGAUAAAGAAGAGAAAAAUGUCAAGAGAGCCUCAAAGUGGUUUGUGCUCAGCCGGUCUCCCUGGGCUGGUCGGUGGGGAGAGCUGGGGAUGCUCCACAAGUGUCUCGAGCCCCAUCCCCUGUUGCGCUGCCCUUGAUUUGCACGUUCUUCAGUGUGUGCAGCAGGAAAGUCACUGCAGGGCAAAGCAGAGAGCACCCAGAUGGCUCACAAAGGGUGUUAUCAACACCACAGGUCAUGUGGGGAAGUAGCAAGAGAGAAGGCUGUUGUGAGCAAGUUCUCCCAAAACUCAAUUUCUCUCAACAGAGAUGAGGAACAGAGAAAGGCUGCAGGGACAACAAGGUCAAGCAUCAUCAGAUUCCACUAAAAUUCUCACUAAUGGUUUUAUUUAAGAGUCCUUAGUCUACUGCUUUGGAAAGAGGAGCUAUUCGUGCUAACAGUUUUGGUGGAAAUCAGGACGAUUCUACCCAUCAGAGGAACAACAUCCUGAAAGCAUCUCCAAAUCAAAUAAAGAGGGACAAAACAGAAACACUAAUUAUUUUUUAGGAGGAAGCUUGAUACAUUCAAAUACAUAAAACAUUGUGGUUGUAACAGAAAAGAACCACGCAUAGCAACUCCUUUCUAAUCAAUUCCAAAUUGAGGAUAACUACGCUAGAGUGCAGAUGUGAAACUCUUUCCCAUCAAGAGGUCACAUAUUAAAAAGGCACACAGUGUAAUAUUCUUACGUAGACCUACAUUAGUCCAAAGCUUUGUCCCAAUUUCAGCGUGAUUGGCAGUACACAGCACACAAGCUAAUGCUUCCGGAGUUUACUGCACCUAUUGGGCUUUUGAAAACACUUGGUAAGGUCUUCAUCUACCAGGAGCACAAGUCUCUAAACAUUCUAACUCCUUCCCAGCAAAUUUUAAUUCUUUUAGGACAUGCAUUUAUUGCUGGUCUAUUCUACUCACUGAUACUGCAGCCAGGAGAAUAAGUAUUUGUACCUACCCAGCAACACUUUCUGUAAAGCAAAGCAUCUCAAACACUUUACAACUGUCAAUUAAGUCUUGUUAUGCAGAGAUAGUAUUUUUGUCAUUUUGUAGAUUGUGCCUUUUAAUUUCUUAGAGAGGUGGAAUAAUUUAGGAGAAUUUGCCUACUAUAGGAUUAACAUGGAGCUGUUGCAAUUGCUGCAUCCAGGAUCUCUGUGCACCUGACAAGGUUAAGCCUCAUAAACACACACAUGGUAUUUGUUUACUAUUUUGUAAGUGUCUCUUUCUACUCCAGAGUAAUAUUCCACACACAAGACAUCUUCAUGAGAAACAUUCUAGUGUAACUGAUAAAAACCAAAGGAGAUGAGAUCCAAAAUGCAGGUUCCAGGAGGCAAGAAAAGCAGUAGCUGAGAUUAAUUCCUUAAGUCAGAAAAGUGCAGCGAUUAUAUUCAAAUACGAUGAAUGCCAUAAUUAUGACUUCAGAGAUAAGCGGAAAUAUUUUGAGAAGCAGUAAUUCAACUAAAGCCAUAUUUAAAACAAAGAGUGCUAGACUUUACCUACUAUAAAACAGUCUUAAGGGAUUAACAAUACUUGUAUUUUUAAUUGUUUAUGUCUAACACACUCUUGGCUACAACAAGUGAAGAAACGUCAAGGAAUUUACAAGAGAUCACAGAGAGAAAGGUACAAAGUGCAGGCACAACCAGUGAUGUUUUGCAAUUGAGAGGACAGUUUGCAUUACAGAAAUAAAAAUGAGGCACCAGCAGAAAGCAGAGAGUGCCUGGGUGUUAGAAGCAAAGACAAAAGCACAAUGUUAUACAACUACAACAACAAAACCACCCAAACGUACAGCCCACACAAAACCCUGAGGAUCCUAAUUAGAGAGAACGGGGCUGACCCAGAGUCCUGUUUUCUUUCAUAUAUUCAGCCAACAAACUGCAGAGAAUUCCAGCAGUUAGAAUUGACAGCGACAUUUUAAGUCAAUGAGAAUCUAUUCUACUCUUCCUCCCACAACACAAAUGAAUAGUAGUGUUAAUGAAAUUCCACUCCUAUUAUAAAUUGACAAACACAUUCCUUCAUUUAUCCCUUCCAGCAAAAUGUGCCUUUUAACAAACUUGAACUGUUCUGAAAUACCCUUCGGCCACAAUAUAACAAAACAAAAUGCCGCUCUCUCCUGCACUGCCCUUUUUCCAAUUAACUUGACUUUAGUGGACCAAGAUAGAUUUUUUUCUUCUAUUGUAUUUCACACCCACGGUUUUGGAUUAAUCAUAUUAAAAUUUACAAAUUUAGUCACAGACUUCAAUACAGUCUGGAUAUUUAUUUGAUCAAGUGUUUCUGACUGAGGAUGAGCUUCUAAUUCAUCACACUCAAACAACUUGCUUUUAAAAACCCACUGGUUUCCAGCGCUGUCUUCUCCAAAAUGUCAAGUAAUUACAUUAUAUGCAGAAAUAAAAAUAAUUGAUUGGCUUU